UUUUUUAAUGAAUUGUUUAUUACCGUUUGCCUAUGACUCCUUAAUUAAAGGGGAGUCACUAUGCUUGUGUGAUUAUGAUUGAUAUCAGUUCCUUAAAUAUGAACUGAUACCUUAUUUGUUUACUCAUUUUAAUACUAUAAAUACUCCUCACUUUCCUCUUUUGAAAACAACAACACACACGAGUCACAACCAAAACUCUCUGAACUCUCGUUUUCUCUGCUAUUGCUAUACUCUCUCGUUCCCUUCUUUGAACACUCAAUCGGCUAACAGCCAAGAUUGAGUAAUUUGAUUGGUUACUUUGCACUGCUG
This 309-nucleotide long non-coding RNA is filed under the name Nicotiana benthamiana. RNAcentral's name for it is "long non-coding RNA (NBEN_LNC008594)". The record is from RNAcentral. Lineage: Eukaryota; Viridiplantae; Streptophyta; Magnoliopsida; Solanales; Solanaceae.